This 2851-nucleotide long non-coding RNA is filed under the name Nothobranchius furzeri (turquoise killifish). RNAcentral describes it as "lncRNA (ENSNFUG00015004696.1)". Lineage: Eukaryota; Metazoa; Chordata; Actinopteri; Cyprinodontiformes; Nothobranchiidae. The record is from RNAcentral.
AUGAAAAUAUCUGAACUGGAACCCUUUCCUUUUUUCAUUGCAGAGGCUAUUCUACAAAAAGUUAAAAGAUUAUCUGAAUGGAUGUGGCAGAGGUGCAUUGUUGUGGAGGUUCUUGGCCAUGAUGCUGAGACAGAGAAGGAACAAACAGAAGUGGACCAUGGACAAGGUCAGACAGCCCAAGUGUAUCCAGAACUACAACUCACAAGAGCAGUGGACCUGCAUGACCAGUAUGUCAGCCGCUACUGAGUUAACAUCUGGUCCAAGAAGUGGUGGCAGCCAUGCUUUAGCUGGGCCCUGAACAGUGCCACAGUGAACAGCUGAUUUUGAGUAUAAUAAACUGGAAAUAAAGAAACCAGUUCACACUGUUUCUUGUUUUGCAUUUUAUGCAGGGAGAACCUGAGUCUCCACAUUUCUGCUAUUAUUUAUUAGGACUAUAUUAUUUUGAUAUUACUAAAUUAUUAUUAUUAUUAUUAUUAUUAUUAUUAUUAUUAUUAUUAUUAUUAUUAUUAGUAGUAGUAGUAGUAGUAGUAGUAGUAGUAAUAGUAGUAUUAGUAUUAAUAAUAAUUGUAAAUAAAACUCAGAGUGACCGAUUAUAAUCAGAAAUAAUCAUAAAAAUUAUCUUUUCAAUGGUCCACACCUUUAAUUAACCAUAAAUUAUUUUAAAACUAAAUUCCAGCUAAUGUAUUCUUCUCCAUAUAACUGUUUUGAAGCCAAAUUUAAUUGUGAGUAGUAGUGAACAGAGCACUUGUUUGUGAGAUGCAUAGAAGUAGUUACGCUCGUUAAAAACUCUGUUUCACACUACAUUUCCAGUCGGUCCUGGAAAGCUUCUUCCCUUUUUUCCUCUGUAGAUAAUGAAGUUUGCAUUAUGCUUAUUUGGCAGCAGCCCAGAUAUUCAAAUAUUCAUGCAGAGAUGAUUUAGAUUGUUGAACUGUGAGUACAAGCUGUAAUGCUCCAGAUCAUUUUGUUGAGGCAACAUUUUUUAAGGCAACAAGGUGUCUUGCCAUUGGCUGAAAUCCUGAAACUGAUUUGUCUAAAAAGGAGGAACAAUAUGAUCAUGGUAAAAUUUAAAUAAGGGAGGUAUUAAAGAUGUCUUCCAUCAGCUUCCUUUGGCAACACUGCACCGUCUUCAUUUUAGAGAAAUAAGUAAAUCACAUUAACAUUGCGGUUAAAUUAUGCAGAUCUUUCCUCUGAUUUCCACCAGGCCCUCUUUUUUUUUUACUCUUUUCCACCAUUUCUUUCUCAUUGACAUGUAUUGAUCUCCUGGUCACACCUUAAAGUACUUUAUCUACAGAUAUUUAUGUUUGUAGCUGCGGGCCUCCAGUUCCCAUUACGGGUCUGAGAAAUGGGCUCGAGCAGUGUUUCAACACCUUGCUGCUGACGAAUAUUUUAAAAUUCAAAAGACCUGCUCUUAGUCAGCACUUCCACCCCCAGAUGUAGCCAUGUAAAAUGACCCGGGACAGCUAGUGUGCUGAGGCAUAGUGUAAAGGCUUAACUACAUGGAAGGAAAAGGUAAUUAGAAAGCAAAAUGUCUAUACAUUUAAAACUAACUUUUUGGGAAUGCAGAUCAGGUGUUAAAGUUUUAAAAUGUAAAUCUUUUAUAAAAUAUUUAAAAAAAAGAAAAAAGAUUUCCAAUGACAACAGUCUGACAAGACGUAUAAAUUCAGUCAUUGAUUAGUAAAAAAAAAAUCCAAGAUCCUGCAUCAGACAAUGAAUUAUUAUCAUAAAUAAACAAAAUCUCAAAACUAUAGAUAUGUGGAGCUGCUGUUAACCUGUAAAUCAUGAUGCUACAAAAACGUUUUCUGUUUUCCACUUUUCUCCCUGGCUGUCCCUCGGUAACUCUGAAAAAUGCCUCCUUUUGAUUUUUUCCUCCCUCCAAAUCUCUCUUCUUCUGUUAGCACCUCCCUGUAUGCAGCUUAUGCCCACUAGCUUUUAAAUCCUUGUUGGUACAUCAGCUUUCUAACCUUCCUAACCUCACUGACUGAGCCUCAGAGACUGUGUGAUGGUGGAUAAUCGGCAGCAGGACUCCCUCCCUCCUUCUUUGUCUCAGCCUCUCUCUCCCCCUCGGCUUUGUUCUUGUCUCUUGUCCCUUACUGUGUGUGUGUGUGUGUUUCACAGCAACACACACACACACACACACACACACACACACACACACACACACACACACACACACACACAGUGAUUAACAGGUGAACCACUUCAGCAAAGCAGCUACACUUGACAUUUCAACCUACUCCAACACCCAAAGAAAAUUUGUCUAAACUCCACAUAGGGAUUAUUAGUCAUACUCCACCAACUGAAGCAACUAUUUUCUUUUGAUCGUGUUGUUUUAUAAAAUACACGCAGGUCAUAUUGCCAGAUUUAGCUGUGGCAGCUGACAACCAACGUGUAUUCUCCUGCUGCAGCCCUGAUGGUUGACAAUGACCGUGCUUUAAACGCCGAGAAGAAAACUCCCAAUUCAAACUUUCCUCUGAACUUCCCUCUGCAGAAUGCCUGGUGGACUGGAGAAGUGUCUCCAAAUGAAAAGACAGAAUUUGAGAACAAAGCAGACAGUGAUGUGUAAAAGCAUGCUUCUAAGUGCCUCUGAUGCAGUUUGUCUCCUUGGAGUCGCUCUCAGAGCAGACUAACAAAGACAAACAACUCUGUGCUUGUAAUGAAACGAUGCACCCACACCUUACCUGUCAGCCUCAUCAAGGGUCAGCUCACACCUGACACAAAUUCAUUUCUAUGAUAAACAAGAAGUUUACAUCACCUGUGAGCAGCGGGGAGGGGAUGUGGGCUGUUGCCUCAUGAUGAUGGAUCAAAACUAAACGUGGCGUUAUUGUAUUCUUUUCAUCAUUUAUUUUCCGAU